RNAcentral lists this ribosomal RNA (468 nucleotides) under uncultured bacterium. RNAcentral's name for it is "partial 16S ribosomal RNA". It matches the Rfam family "Bacterial small subunit ribosomal RNA", at positions 28 to 507 of the family's 1533-position model. The record is from RNAcentral.
GACGAACGCUGGCGGCGUGCUUAACACAUGCAAGUCGAACGGAAAGGCCCUGCUUUUGUGGGGUGCUCGAGUGGCGAACGGGUGAGUAACACGUGAGUAACCUGCCCUUGACUUUGGGAUAACUUCAGGAAACUGGGGCUAAUACCGGAUAGGAGCUCCUGCUGCAUGGUGGGGGUUGGAAAGUUUCGGCGGUUGGGGAUGGACUCGCGGCUUAUCAGCUUGUUGGUGGGGUAGUGGCUUACCAAGGCUUUGACGGGUAGCCGGCCUGAGAGGGUGACCGGCCACAUUGGGACUGAGAUACGGCCCAGACUCCUACGGGAGGCAGCGGUGGGGAGUAUUGCACAAUGGGCGGAAGCCUGGUGCGGCAACGCCGCGUGCGGGAUGACGGCCUUCGGGUUGUGAACCGCUUUCGCCUGUGACGAAGCGUGAGUGACGGUAAUGGGUAAAGAAGCACCGGCUAACUACGUG